UCACCCUCGAGCCCCAGGCUUGGUGUUGGAUGGUUUUGGUGGGACCUGCAGUGUCUCACCCCUCCUAAAGACAAUGACGGCGGCCUCGUUGGACCCCCGGUACACUGAGCUUCUUAACUGAGCAUGUACUGGAUGUGGGUGCGCGGGGCACGGUCUGCCUCCCCUUAGGGAGAAACUUUUUCUAA
RNAcentral lists this unclassified non-coding RNA (185 nucleotides) under uncultured Herpotrichiellaceae. Its description in RNAcentral is "sequence contains ITS2". Lineage: Eukaryota; Fungi; Ascomycota; Eurotiomycetes; Chaetothyriales; Herpotrichiellaceae. The record is from RNAcentral.